This 601-nucleotide unclassified non-coding RNA is filed under the name Hevea brasiliensis (rubber tree). The record is from RNAcentral. Lineage: Eukaryota; Viridiplantae; Streptophyta; Magnoliopsida; Malpighiales; Euphorbiaceae.
UAAUUAGCCAACUACUAAAAUACAAGAUACGGAGAGUUAAUGGGGUUAAUGGUAGUCAGCUAGCUGAUCUGAGGAGGAUACGACAGGAAGCCGUAGGCUGAUGGUAAAAGGCGAGGGGGGCUAUAUGCAUGUAACAGGCGAGGCUCGGAGCUCAACAAGAACCUCAUUGGGUGGGUGCAACUGUUCAGAGAAGGCAGUGAUGGACACAAGGGUUGGCUGCAGUAAAUAUACAUGAUAUCAUAUUCAUAUCUACCCAGUUCCAAGAGAAUCAGAAGAUAAUACCACAAAACCCUCGUCCUCUAUCUCUUCUACUUCUAGGUUAGGCCCACCCUAAAACUCAGCUGCCACUAUUCUGUCUUUGUCAUCAUCAUCACCGAUAUCGCCGCCGUUUCGGUCGCGGCUGCUGCUGCAACGGUUCGUAUUAUCUUCUUCUCCUUCUUGGUCAGUGUCUCCGUUGUUGCUGUCGCUGUUAUUGAGGCUAUCUCCACCGUUCUUGUUGUCAUGAUAUUUAAUGGGAAGACCAAGAAUCAUGGGGGGCUGUUGCUUCUGGCCGACAAUGGGUUGAGGCUCCGUCAGUUGCCUCCCGUCUCGAGGAGGCGAA